Molecule: unclassified non-coding RNA, 330 nt
Filed under: plant metagenome
Description: partial contains 5.8S ribosomal RNA, internal transcribed spacer 2, and large subunit ribosomal RNA
Rfam family: 5.8S ribosomal RNA (bases 1-115)
Source: RNAcentral
AGAACGCAGCGAAAUGCGAUAAGUAAUGUGAAUUGCAGAGUUUAGUGAAUCAUCGAAUCUUUGAACGCACAUUGCGCCCCUCGGUACUCCGACGGGCAUGCCUGUUCGAGCGUCGUUUGCAAACCCUCAAGCGGAAUCACCGUCGGCUUGGUCUUGGGCACGCGCCCCCCGCGAGCGGGGGGCGCGCCCCGAAGUCAGCGGCGGCCCGCGACGACCGCCGGAGCGUCCUCGCAUGACACCGCUCCCGCGCGCUCGCCCCGGACCCGCCGGCAAACGCAAACCUCGAUAGUUCGACCUCGGAUCAGGUAGGGAUACCCGCUGAACUUAAGC